This 303-nucleotide ribosomal RNA is filed under the name uncultured bacterium. RNAcentral's name for it is "partial 16S ribosomal RNA". It matches the Rfam family "Bacterial small subunit ribosomal RNA", at positions 507 to 807 of the family's 1533-position model. The record is from RNAcentral.
AGCAGUCGCCGCGGGAAUACAGAGGGUGCGAGCGUUAAUCGGAUUUACUGGGCGUAAAGCGUGCGUAGGCGGCUUUUUAAGUCGGAUGUGAAAUCCCUGAGCUUAACUUAGGAAUUGCAUUCGAUACUGGGAAGCUAGAGUAUUGGAGAGGAUGGUAGAAUUCCAGGUGUAGCGGUGAAAUGCGUAGAGAUCUGGAGGAAUACCGAUGGCGAAGGCAGCCAUCUGGCCUAAUACUGACGCUGAGGUACGAAAGCAUGGGGAGCAAACAGGAUUAGAUACCCCCGUAGUCCCUGUCUCUUAUAC